This 497-nucleotide ribosomal RNA is filed under the name uncultured bacterium. Its description in RNAcentral is "partial 16S ribosomal RNA". It matches the Rfam family "Bacterial small subunit ribosomal RNA", at positions 28 to 507 of the family's 1533-position model. The record is from RNAcentral.
GACGAACGCUGGCGGCGUGCCUAAUACAUGCGAGUUGAGCGCUGAAGGUUGGUACUUGUACCAACUGGAUGAGCAGCGAACGGGUGAGUAACGCGUGGGGAAUCUGCCUUUGAGCGGGGGACAACAUUUGGAAACGAAUGCUAAUACCGCAUAAAAACUUUAAACACAAGUUUUAAGUUUGAAAGAUGCAAUUGCAUCACUCAAAGAUGAUCCCGCGUUGUAUUAGCUAGUUGGUGAGGUAAAGGCUCACCAAGGCGAUGAUACAUAGCCGACCUGAGAGGGUGAUCGGCCACCUUGGGACUGAGACACGGCCCAAACUCCUACGGGAGGCAGCAGUAGGGAAUCUUCGGCAAUGGACGAAAGUCUGACCGAGCAACGCCGCGUGAGUGAAGAAGGUUUUCGGAUCGUAAAACUCGGUUGGUAGAGAAGAACGUUGGUGAGAGUGGAAAGCUCAUCAAGUGACGGUAACUACCCAGAAAGGGACGGCUAACUACGUG